This 179-nucleotide non-coding RNA is filed under the name chicken gut metagenome. RNAcentral describes it as "6S / SsrS RNA". It matches the Rfam family "6S / SsrS RNA". From Rfam's summary of the family: E. coli 6S RNA was the first non coding RNA to be sequenced, but its function was unknown until recently. It consists of 184 nucleotides that fold into an extended hairpin structure with a large single-stranded internal bulge. The record is from RNAcentral.
UUCCCUGGGGUGUACGCCAGUCGCAUGUACCCUGAGCCGAUAUUUACUAGAUUGGGGCUGCUUCUUGCUUGCUAUUGUGCAGGCCGUCAUUUUAUGCACGGAAGCCUUAGGCAACCAUAGUGACCCCACUUGAACCACCUGGUUCAAGGAGUCAAUUGUGGCAGCGGCACUUCCGGGGC